Molecule: long non-coding RNA, 244 nt
Filed under: Gossypium raimondii (Peruvian cotton)
Lineage: Eukaryota; Viridiplantae; Streptophyta; Magnoliopsida; Malvales; Malvaceae
Description: long non-coding RNA (GRAI_LNC002102)
Source: RNAcentral
UUUUCCUUGUAUUUACCUUACUAUUGUAUUGGAGUAUCACAAAAAAAAUCAAAAUUCAAAAAAAAAAAGAAAAAAAGAAGUGAGCAAAAAAAAAGAGUAAAAAAAAGAAGAAAAAAAAGAAGUGAAAAGUCUUGCGAGUAUUAUUUUCAUCUCUUAUUACUCCGAUCAUCAAGUUUCCCUUCCUACCAUUAUUUAUCCAUCCCAACGCCACACUUUAAACCAAUUUUUUCUUUGUUCAGCCUAC